This 944-nucleotide ribosomal RNA is filed under the name invertebrate metagenome. Its description in RNAcentral is "bacterial SSU rRNA". It matches the Rfam family "Bacterial small subunit ribosomal RNA", at positions 8 to 982 of the family's 1533-position model. The record is from RNAcentral.
AGGGUUUGAUCCUGGCUCAGAAUGAACGUUGGCGGCGUGGAUUAGGCAUGCAAGUCGAGCGAGAAGUUCUCCUUCGGGAGAAUGGACAGCGGCGAAAGGGAGAGUAACAUGUGGGUGACCUACCCCUGAGUACGGGAUAGCUGCGGGAAACUGCAGGUAAUACCGUAUAACAUCUCAGGAUCAAAGCUCCGGCGCUUGGGGACGGGCCCGCAUACUAUUAGCUAGUUGGUAAGGUAAUGGCUUACCAAGGCAAAGAUGGUUACCGGGUGUGAGAGCAUGGCCCGGCUCACUGGGACUGAGACACUGCCCAGACACCUCCGGGUGGCUGCAGUCGAGAAUCUUCGGCAAUGGACGAAAGUCUGACCGAGCGACGCCGCGUGCGGGAUGAAGGCCUUCGGGUUGUAAACCGCUGUCAGAGGGAAGGAAAUUUUGACCGAUCCUCAAAGGAAGUACGGGCUAAGUUCGUGCCAGCAGCCGCGGUAAGACGAACCGUACAAACGUUAUUCGGAAUCACUGGGCUUAAAGGGUGCGUAGGUGGUCUAUUAAGUUGGGUGUGAAAUCCCUCGGCUCAACCGAGGAACUGCGCUCAAUACUGGUAGACUUGAGGGAGAUAGAGGUGAGCGGAACUGAUGGUGGAGCGGUGAAAUGCGUUGAUAUUAUCGGGAACACCUGUGGCGAAAGCGGCUCACUGGAUCUCUUCUGACACUGAGGCACGAAAGCUAGGGGAGCGAACGGGAUUAGAUACCCCGGUAGUCCUAGCUGUAAACGAUGAGUACUAGAUCGAAGGCCUUUCCACGGGUUUUCGGUCGUAGCGAAAGUGUUAAGUACUCCGCCUGGGGAGUAUGGUCGCAAGGCUGAAACUCAAAGGAAUUGACGGGGGCUCACACAAGCGGUGGAGGAUGUGGCUUAAUUCGAGGCUACGCGAAGAACCUUAUCCUGGUCUU